GUGGAUGCUGGUUCUAAAUUUCUCAAAGCUGGUUUCGCUAUUCCAGAUCAAACUCCUGCUAUGGUAAUACCAACCCAAAUGAAACGCAUUGCUGAAGAUGAUGAAGGUUCCUUGUUUGAGGAGGAGGAAGUGGCUGUGGAUCCCAUUGAGAGGGGUUUCGUUAAAGAUUGGGAUGCAAUGGAAGACCUGUUGCAUCAUGUUCUUUAUUCUGGUCUUGGUUGGGAAAUUGGAAAUGAAGGUCAAAUUUUGUUCACUGACCCGCUCUGCACUCCCAAGGCUAUUAGGG
RNAcentral lists this unclassified non-coding RNA (286 nucleotides) under Hevea brasiliensis (rubber tree). The record is from RNAcentral. Lineage: Eukaryota; Viridiplantae; Streptophyta; Magnoliopsida; Malpighiales; Euphorbiaceae.